CCCCUGUGGUGAGUUGCCAUUCUAGUACUGCAACACCACAUAGGGGGUUUUUUCCUGCAUUGGGUGUUGUUGAGAUAAACCCUACUUGUCUUACAGCUACCUGAGGGGC
This is a small nucleolar RNA of Rhinolophus ferrumequinum (greater horseshoe bat), 109 nucleotides long. The record is from Ensembl. Lineage: Eukaryota; Metazoa; Chordata; Mammalia; Chiroptera; Rhinolophidae.